RNAcentral lists this unclassified non-coding RNA (336 nucleotides) under soil metagenome. RNAcentral describes it as "partial contains 5.8S ribosomal RNA, internal transcribed spacer 2, and large subunit ribosomal RNA". The stretch from base 1 to 120 matches the Rfam family "5.8S ribosomal RNA", at positions 35 to 154 of the family's 154-position model. The record is from RNAcentral.
GAUGAAGAACGUAGCGAAAUGCGAUAACUAAUGUGAAUUGCAGAAUUCAGUGAAUCAUCGAAUCUUUGAACGCACAUUGCGCCCCUUGGUAUUCCAUGGGGCAUGCCUGUUCGAGCGUCAUUUGUACCUUCAAGCUUUGCUUGGUGUUGGGUGUUUGUCUCGCCUUUGCGUGUAGACUCGCCUUAAAAUAAUUGGCAGCCGGCGUAUUGAUUUCGGAGCGCAGUACAUCUCGCGCUUUGCACUCAUAACGACAGCGUCCAAAAGUACAUUUUACACUCUUGACCUCGGAUCAGGUAGGGAUACCCGCUGAACUUAAGCAUAUCAAUAAGCGGAGGA